Molecule: long non-coding RNA, 800 nt
Organism: Pipra filicauda (Wire-tailed manakin)
Lineage: Eukaryota; Metazoa; Chordata; Aves; Passeriformes; Pipridae
Exons: 2
Source: RefSeq, a predicted model, not a curated record
GUGGGAUGAAAAGUUCCCCCGGAGGUAUGCGGGCCCCCCGACCGCCCCCCCGCCUUUGUCCCACGGGCCCGGCGCACCCCCCGCCCCUUCCCCGCUCCGAGGGGGGAGAGGGCGCAGGGGGUGGCCCGGGGGGGUGGCCCGGGGGGUGUCCCGGGGGGCGGCGGGCGCUACCCCCUCCCACACUGUGUUUUCUCUUUAAUUCCAGGUGCGGCCGAGCUGUGACCCGCGGGAGGGACGGGGGGCAGGACCGGACCCGGCCGGGGGAGGGUAAUGCGUGGAGAAGCAGCGUCGCUUAUACAAGAUGUUGAUGGAAUUUACUAUAUUAUUAAAGGAAAAAAAAAAUCCCCUUUCAAGAAUAAAGUGUAUCAACUUACAACACAACAGACGGCAGAGGGAUAAGUGAAACAGACAAAAGACAAACAAGAUAAUAAUCUGUUUCCAAUCAGUUAAGCCCUGUAGAAUUUGUAAUACGCGGUUUGCAUAUUCCCCCUGUGUUUUGUAAUUAAUUAUCUAUCUGUUCGGAUGCUCCGCCGCCGACUUUGUGGAUAUUUCCAACUAUUUUGGGGGUUGUAGGCGGCGACCUACGCGGUGAAAAGGAGCGCGGAGGAGCGCGGAGCGGGGCCGGGCUCCGCGGCUCUGCCCGGCCCGAGGAUGCCGAGCCCGGGCGCGGUGGGAGGCGGCGGCUCCGCGCCACUCCGCGCUCCUCCGGCGGGCGAGGCUGCUCCCCCCGCGCUCCCCUCCUUUCCCCCGGUAAGAGGGGGGACGGGGCAGGUUUUAACAUUAAACAAACCCAGCAAGCA